UGGCGGACGGGUGAGUAACGCGUGGGUAACCUGCCUUACACAGGGGGAUAACACUUAGAAAUAGGUGCUAAAACCGCAUAAGCGCACAGCUUCGCAUGAAGCGGUGUGAAAAACUCCGGUGGUGUAAGAUGGACCCGCGUCUGAUUAGCUUGUUGGCGGGGUAACGGCCCACCAAGGCGACGAUCAGUAGCCGGCCUGAGAGGGCGGACGGCCACAUUGGGACUGAGACACGGCCCAGACUCCUACGGGAGGCAGCAG
This 258-nucleotide ribosomal RNA is filed under the name uncultured bacterium. RNAcentral describes it as "partial 16S ribosomal RNA". It matches the Rfam family "Bacterial small subunit ribosomal RNA", at positions 96 to 354 of the family's 1533-position model. The record is from RNAcentral.